GUUGAACGGAAGCAUCCUAGUAGACCCAUCCAAAUCACACGAGAGGACCUCAGUAGCGGCGAGCGAACAGGU
This 72-nucleotide ribosomal RNA is filed under the name Prymnesium parvum. RNAcentral's name for it is "partial Archaeal large subunit ribosomal RNA". The record is from RNAcentral. Lineage: Eukaryota; Haptophyta; Prymnesiales; Prymnesiaceae.